This 598-nucleotide ribosomal RNA is filed under the name Celeribacter sp. RNAcentral describes it as "bacterial SSU rRNA". It matches the Rfam family "Bacterial small subunit ribosomal RNA", at positions 134 to 767 of the family's 1533-position model. The record is from RNAcentral. Lineage: Bacteria; Pseudomonadati; Pseudomonadota; Alphaproteobacteria; Rhodobacterales; Roseobacteraceae.
CACUACGGAAUAGUCCCGGGAAACUGGGUUUAAUACCGUAUACGCCCUUCGGGGGAAAGAAUUUCGGUGAGGGAUCGGCCCGCGUUAGAUUAGUUAGUUGGUGGGGUAAUGGCCUACCAAGACUACGAUCUAUAGCUGGUUUGAGAGGAUGAUCAGCAACACUGGGACUGAGACACGGCCCAGACUCCUACGGGAGGCAGCAGUGGGGAAUCUUAGACAAUGGGGGCAACCCUGAUCUAGCGAUGCCGCGUGAGUGAUGAAGGCCUUAGGGUCGUAAAGCUCUUUCGCCUGUGAUGAUAAUGACAGUAGCAGGUAAAGAAACCCCGGCUAACUCCGUGCCAGCAGCCGCGGUAAUACGGAGGGGGUUAGCGUUGUUCGGAAUUACUGGGCGUAAAGCGCACGUAGGCGGAUUAGUCAGUCAGAGGUGAAAUCCCAGGGCUCAACCCUGGAACUGCCUUUGAUACUGCUAGUCUUGAGUUCGAGAGAGGUAAGUGGAAUUCCGAGUGUAGAGGUGAAAUUCGUAGAUAUUCGGAGGAACACCAGUGGCGAAGGCGGCUUACUGGCUCGAUACUGACGCUGAGGUGCGAAAGUGUGGGGA